Molecule: ribosomal RNA, 161 nt
Filed under: uncultured bacterium
Lineage: Bacteria
Description: partial 16S rRNA
Rfam family: Bacterial small subunit ribosomal RNA
Source: RNAcentral
GGAAUCUUCCACAAUGGACGCAAGUCUGAUGGAGCAACGCUGCGUGAGUGAGGAAGGUCUUCGGAUCGUAAAACUCUGUUGUUAGAGAAGAACACGAGUGAGAGUAACUGUUCAUUCGAUGACGGUAUCUAACCAGCAAGUCACGGCUAACUACGUGCCAG